GGAAGAGAACGAAAAAGGCAAAAAACGGAAAAGGAACGGAAAAAGUGGAACAAAAAGAUGAAAGCAGCAGCUGAAAAGGUUAUUGUCAUCCUUUCAAUACACCCAGCAAUGACCUCUGCCCACCAUCAAGGUCGCUGGAGACCAACUCUAUUGUCAUCCUCUCCAAUUAACCCCUGAAACCAACGACUUCCUCAAAUGACCACAUUUCCUCCUCCCUUCACCCAUCUCCCUCACGUUGGAAAUCUGUUACACACAGUAAAAAAAAACGCAAAAGAACAAAACAACGGGAAAGGUUCAUUUCCAAAUCAUCCGGGGCAGUGCAUUUUCACUCGAGGUUACAGAUCCGAGGUCCGGCUGCGGUUCAGCCGUAGUUCGAUUCAAGCUCACUGUUGCUUUGACGAUUGGAGCAGACUAAUUGUUGUAUAUCUGGCUGGAGUUUCUAAUUAAAAGUGAAGGAGUUUCUGCUUUAACUGAGGUCCACUUCUUACUCCUUCUCUUCUUCAGUUAUAUGUGUUCUUACUAUUAAUAUGGUGGAAUGAAGCAAUCUUGUGUGUAUUGGUUUGAGACUACCCGCAUACUCGUUUGGAUGGCAUCGUGCUAUUUCCCUGUUCAAUUCAUGUUGGUUUAAGGACUAAGAAAUUUUGUGAUUGUUGAAUCAUUAAUCAAUUGCCAAGUCUAAUUAAGAUUAAGAAGAAAACCAAUGAAAUAAGAGUUUGGAUAUAACAAGUCAUCGAGGGUCCCUUCCCAGUUUUAAUCAGUUUUUUGUGGGUGCUCAAAAACGCACUUUUAGUUAAUCAAUUUUGUUUUUUAGUUUCUAUUCAAUAUAGUCUACCGUCUAUUAAUUCUACUUCUUUCAUUUUCUUCCACGUCAUUUGUUGUUUAUGUUAGUAAUUGGCUGAAUUUGCUGUUGUCGAAUUCAAGGCUGAAAGCUAGCUAAGCUAAAAAAAUAUUUUUACGUGAAUUUAUUAUCGAAGAAAAAAAUUGUGGAGAUUAUUCCAAGAAAGUACUUAAUUUAAAAUUAGUUUCAAAUAUGAAUAUCCGUAGUUCUUUUAAUUGAAUGCAUUUUCUUAGAAUAAAUCGAGGUGUGCCGUGCCAAACAAAAAUGACAAUCGCAUGACCCUCGCUUAGUUAAUAUUUUAAUCCUUAGAAUUUGAGGCGUGCCAUUUAGCGAAUAAUCUAUGGCCCUCGCAUUAAUAUUAACUUAGUAUAAAAUAACCUUAAACACUCGUAGUUUGCUUUAGGCUUAACUUAGACUACUAUUGUGACUGUGUAUACGUUCGCGUAACAUAGUUGCAAAUUUAAUUCUAAAAGUAACUCGAGGUAUGCGUUCGCGCAACUUCGGCCAAAUCCUCCUAAUAAUUAACAAAGCGUCCUUAAUCGUGGACACGUUCGCGUGACAUGAUUUUGACGCGCCAAAGGAAAAGAGUAUACGUACGCGUAACUCAAUUCUUUAAUUACGAAUAACCAAGUGAUUUAAAAGUGGUAAAGGAUAAAUGCACAUAGGGUCUAAAGUCAGUAAUUAAAUAAUUUUAAUAAGCCAAGUAUGAUCAAAGCGACCGUGCUAGAACCACGGAACUCGGGAAUGCCUAACACCUUCUCCCGGGUUAACAGAAUUCCUUACCCAGAUUUCUGGUUCGCGGACUGUUAAAUAGAUUCAACUUUCCUCGAUUCGGGAUCCUAAACCGGUGACUUGGGACACCCUAAAUUAUCCCAAGUGGCGACUCUGAUUUUUAAUAAAUAAAUGAUCCCGUUUCGAUUGUCCUUUAAUUGGAAAAACUCCCUUGUAUUUAUACCCUUUACGGGAUGCAGUAAAAAAGGAGGUGUGACAGCUAUAACCAUAGCCUGAGAACUCUAUAGGGUACGCUGUGGCUGAGAAGUCUGCGGAGGUGCACCCCUCCCAAGUCUGGGGUAGUCCCUCACCAUAUGGUGUGUGUCACCACACUCAAAACAAGCUUUGGGAGGACGUGGCAGCUGUGACUGGCUCGAGCUAGGUCUGCCAGAUUGACCUCUGAAAGCACCCCGCGCGGGAGGCGCACUAGAAACCAGAGGUGCAUAAUAAGGCUCUUAAGGCCUAGGAGGAGCUGGAAUACCACUGGCUACUGGAAGAGCUGAAUUAAUAGGGCGACUCAUAUAACCCCUACCAUGAUGACUUGUAGUUGGGGCAUGGGCACCAGAAUAAUGGCCCGACUCUCGAGACCUCUUGGCCUCCCUCUCGUCUCUCUCCCUAGCAUGCAUACCCUCAAUCCUCCUAGAAAUGCUCACUACCUACUGAUAAGAAAUAUCCAUCUCCAACUUAUGAGCCAUGAUAGACCUGAUGUUGGGAAUAAGACUCUCAAUAAACUGGUGAACCCUCUCGCGAACAGUAAAAACCAAGGCUAGUGCAUGUCUAGCCAAACUAGUGUAACGGACAACAUACUCUGAGACUGUCAUAGCACCCUGGCGCUAAUGCUCAAACUGUACGGCCCAUGCAUCCCUGAGGCUUUGAGGAACAUACUCUUUCAGGAACAGAUAUGAAAACUGAGUCCAAGUCAGUGAAGCAGCCUCAUCCGGAUUGUCUAACUCAUAGGUGCGCCACCACUCAUAGGCGGCUCCUCAAAGCUGGAAAGUAGUGAAGGAAACCCUGCUCGAUCCUGAUAUACCCAUGGUAGGGUGUUACGGUAACACUCAUCUAGAAAUCCCAAAGCAUCAUCCGAUGCUAGACCACUGAAUACAAGAGGCUUGUACUUCUUGAACCUCUCAAGCCUCAGCUGCUCAUCCUCGAAAGCUGAUGCCCUAUCCUCGGGCUGAUCUCGGACUGUAGGCUGUACAAGAAUAAUCUCAGGGACAACAUGCACUCACUUCUCAAGAGUGCAGGCGACGGGAGUUUGUGCUCCUCCCCCGGCUUGAGAUGUAGCUGCAGCAAGGAGAAGCAACCCUGCCUGAGCCAAAGUGGUAUACAUGCUCAUGAACUAUGCCAGAGUCUCCUGAAAUGUUGGAGUAGUAGUAUCAGUAUGCAUAUCAGGUGCCUAGACUCCGACUGGAACUGCUGGUGGUACCUCGGUUAUAGCUCACGCAGGUGCUCUAGCUACAUCACGUGCGCGUCCUCAGCCUCUACCCCGACCCUGGCCUCUGACGGCUGCAGUAGGGGGCGCGGGUGCCUGAUCAUCUCGAGUAGCGCGUGUUCUCACCAUCUAUGAGAGAAUAGAAGACAAAAGUUUAGUAUUGUGACAUCAAAUCUCGCUCAACAAGGAAAUCAAAUGAAGUGGAAUUUUUCUAACAGUUACAUAGCCUCUAGCAGAUAAGUAUAGAUGUCUCCAUAUCGAUCCAGAGACUCUAAUAAAUCGGCUUAUGAUUCAUGACUCCUAUGAACCUAGAGCUUUAAUACCAACUUGUCAUGACCCUGGUUCGCCCUCUAUGAACCAUCGUGGCGGCACCUAGUCUCUACGACUAGGUAAGCCUAAAUGCGAAAAGAUAAACAAAUUUGCGGAAGAAAACAAUCUAAAGCAUAAAUAGAGUAAUAAAACAACGUUUAAAAGUGCGACUCGGCAUACACAACAUUAAUUUUCGAGAACUAGUGCAUUUUUCCAAAACCCGAAAUGUCAUGAAACCACAAGCCUUGGAAUAACUACCAGUGUCUAACUCCAGAAUACCUAACAAAGAAAAGAAAUACAGAAAGGCUAAUACAAUAGGGAGAAGAGAAAGGGACUCCUCGGUCUGCGUACGCGGCAGAUAUACCUCGAAGUCUCUGGAACAGUUGCCUCUCCUCAAGGGUAAUGGACUGGGUCGAAGUACCUGGAUCUGCACAUGAAAAACAUGCGUAGAAAGGGAAUGAGUAUACUACAGCGGUACUCAGUAAGUGCCAAGCCUAACCUCGAUCGAGUAGUGACGAGGAAGGUCAGGGCCCUACUGAGGUUAAACAAAAUAUAAGGUUCGACAAUGUAGAAUAAAACAAUAUAAAUAAGUACAACAAUAAAAGUAACACAAGAUAUAAAGGGCAGCAACAACUAUUACAGAGGCAAGGUAAACACAGAAAGAAAUAUGGCUCAGUACCAGAAUAACAAUCGGGGAUCUCCAAGGAUACCGUCCUGUAGUCCCAAAUAUACAGAUCCAUGGGUCUCCCAGGAUAUUGUCCCGUAGUCCAACUCAUAGUACGCGGGGAUCUACCGAAAUUCCGUUUUGUAGUCCCAAAUGUAAAUACCCAGUACUGGGGAAUCUACCGGGUGCAGUCCCGUAGUUCCANNNNNNNNNNNNNNNNNNNNNNNNNNNNNNNNNNNNNNNNNNNNNNNNNNNNNNNNNNNNNNNNNNNNNNNNNNNNNNNNNNNNNNNNNNNNNNNNNNNNNNNNNNNNNNNNNNNNNNNNNNNNNNNNNNNNNNNNNNNNNNNNNNNNNNNNNNNNNNNNNNNNNNNNNNNNNNNNNNNNNNNNNNNNNNNNNNNNNNNNNNNNNNNNNNNNNNNNNNNNNNNNNNNNNNNNNNNNNNNNNNNNNNNNNNNNNNNNNNNNNNNNNNNNNNNNNNNNNNNNNNNNNNNNNNNNNNNNNNNNNNNNNNNNNNNNNNNNNNNNNNNNNNNNNNNNNNNNNNNNNNNNNNNNNNNNNNNNNNNNNNNNNNNNNNNNNNNNNNNNNNNNNNNNNNNNNNNNNNNNNNNNNNUAUAACUGUGCAAGGGGAUCUACCGGAAUCCCACAUCCGUAGUCCCAAUGUGAAUACACAGCAGCAAUAGGAAAAUAUUCAGAAAUGUCAAAUUUCAUAUUAAGGCCAACAAGUAAUUCUAGCCUAGCAUGCUGCACAGAAUUCAGGUAAAACAGUUUGAGCAAAUAAAGCAAUUAAAUCACUUAGACAUGCUUUCCUAAGCUAACAACAUGCUUAAUAGUGCAAUCAAUUAAAAUAGGGAAGAAAACAUACUAGUAAUUACUUAAUAAAAACCGGAUUUCCAACAAUUAGCACAAGUACGCAUUGAUCACCUCACGUACAAGGCAUUUCAAUUAUCAAUAAUACCAAAUCCUAAGGGGAAGGUCCCCAUAUAAGGUUAGGCAUGCCACUUACCUCGAACCAGCUCAAAUCAAUCCGAAACCAUGCUCUUGCCACGAGUACUCGACUCCAAUGGCCCAAAUCUAUUCAAUUCAAUUUCAUAAUGUAAACAACACUUCAAGUACUGACUCAACAAAGAAAUUCUAAGCUAAUACGCGAAAUUAGGUAAAAUGACUAAAAUGCCCCUCGGGCCACGUCUCGGAAUCGGGUAAAAUUUACAUUUCCAGAAUCCUCACACUCUCACGAGUUCAGUCACACCAAAAGUACCAAAAUCAGACCUCAAAUAAUUCCUCAAAUCAUCACUCAAAGGUCUCUAAUUAGUCAAGCCCUAACCCCCAAUUUACCACUGAUUUUCCUUAAUUUUUCAUGCUUAAAAUGAUAAAAAUAAUUCCAAUAAUGAGUUUAGGGACCAAAGACCUUACCCCAAUGAACUCCUCUGAAAAUCCCUCUUGAAAAUGCUCCCCAAGGCUUCUUCCCGUUUGAAAAGAGGUGAAAAUGGCUAAAAUUUGCGAAGACAAGAAUUUAUAUGUUUCUGCCCAGCUAAUCUGCUUCUGCAGUCAUGGGACCUCACAUGUGGUCCCGCUUUUGCGAACAACCUGUCGCAUCUACGACAAUCACUAACUCAGCCUUCUCCGCACCUGCGAUUCCCUAUUCACAGAUGCGGUACCGCUUUUGUGGUAAAUCUCCCGCAUCUACGAAUCCUGCUGCUCCUGCCCAAUUCUUUUUUUGCAAUGACAAUGCCACUUCUACAGCUACGCACAUGCGGGACCCAACUACAAGUGCGGUUAUGACAGAAGAUCAGCAGCUUCAGCUGCUCAACAACUCCCAAUCCUUCUGACAACCUUCCGAAAUCAACCCGAGGCCCCCGAGACCUCAAUCAAAAACACAAACAAGUCUAAUACCAUUGUCCAAACUUAUACCAAUCCAUAAAACACCUAAAACAAUAUCAAAACGAUGAAUCAUCCACGGAUUCAAGCUUAAGAACUCCAAAACUCUAAAAAUACACUUUUGAUCAAAUAGUCUAUCAAACCUCGUCCGAAUGACCUAAAAUUUUGCGCACACAUCACAUUCAACACUAUAGAGCUACUCCAACUUCUGAAAUUCCAUUCCUACCCUCGGAUCAAAAUCUCACUAUCGAACGGAAACUUCAAAAUUCGACUUUCGGCAUUUCAAGCCUAAAUUAGAUACGAAACUCAAAAACAUAAUCCGAACACGCCCUUAAGCCCGAAAUCACCCAACGGAGCUAAUGAAACCAUCGGAAUUUCAUUCCAAGGCCGUCUUCACACUAUUCUAACACGAUCAAAUUUCCAACACUUAAGCUCUCAUUUAGGGACUAAGUGUCCCAAAACUCUCCGAAACUCGAAGUCGAACAUCCUGGCAAUUCAAAUUAGCAAAAAUAAAUUUGGAGAAAGCAGUUAAUAGGGGAUCACGACAUUAAUUCUUAAGACGACCUGCCGGGUCGUCACAGCCUACGAUUGGAUUGUAUGGUUAUCUAUUUAUGAGGUUUUUGGUUUUCGGCAUAUUAGUGGGUUAUUACGACUAAAGAAAGAGAAUAUCAGUGGUGAUUAGAGCAAAGAAUUUGAGCAAAUGUGUGUUAUAAUUGGUCUUAUCAAUUUAUGUUUAGGCUUUGGGAAGACUCAGGAUUUUUGCUUCGUUUAGAGGUGAUUUACAAGAAAGGUGAUUCAGCCGACCGUUUCUUUGAAAAGGUAUUCAUGUUAUAGCAGAGCCUUGGAGGUUAUUAUAUUUGGGACCAAGUCAGAGUGGGCGGCUCUCAAAAACGGUCCUAGUGGAUUCAAAAGUUAAAGUGUGGUGCCUAAGGAUUUCAAGUCCAUAUUAUGGUUGAGUAUCGAGUUUUUGCAGUGGAUUAUGAUAAAGGAGCUUGGUGUGUUCUAUGUUAUCUCCGGUAUACAGUGUAGUAUAAGAGGAAUGGGAGGAAAGAACCUUGGAUUUAUAGAAGAAUUAUUAGAAUGGGUGUACCAGUUGAAGAUGCAAUUAUGCGCACAAGAAGGGUAUGAAAUGGUUCUUGGGUUUUGAGACAAUGUGGUCUUGUGAAAUGGGGUCACUCAGGACGAGUGCAGAUUGAGUUCGCUAUAUUUUGAAUGGAAAUGUUAUUAUUCCUAAGGUAAGUCCAGGGUAAAUUAGAAGAAGUCGGAUCAGUUAGCAAUGGUUGAAUCGGCAUGAUGAUGGCAAUGAUCAGCUCCUUCAGCAUGUUGAGUUACUCAAUGGGAUUCGUGACGGUACAUGCGAGGUUUGACGGUCGCCGUAAUUGAUUUUAUUUGGAGGCUUUCGAUUAUUAUGGCUGGUUGUGUACAGAUGGAUCCCGGAAGAGUUAUGGUGGUUCAUACCACUACUUGAGGUUGCUAUUUUCUGCGGAUAUGAGAAUUCAGUCAUGUGUUGCAAUGGUUCUCUUGAAAUGAGUUAAGUAAAAUGUUUCUAUAUGAUGAAGUGUGUAUCAUAUUAGUAGUUCAAGAUUUAUGAUGAAAUUCUUGGGUUCUUGCGUAUUGGUAAGAUAGGUGCGAUAAGUGACAUGAAAUUUGAAAGUUAAGGAUCAAGGUUGCGGUUCGGUGUUGACAAGAAUGUCACAAGCUCGAAUGAGAAGAAAAGGAUUCAGAUGGUUAGAGUAAGCUGGUGUUGUCUUUAGUGUCACCUGAGAUCGGUGUCCCAUGUAAGAGGCUUGGUGUACUAAUUUGCGGAUUUUUGAUUCACUUUAUAGCAUUAGUAUGGCCAGUGGUAUGGAUGUGCAGAGUUGUAACCUGGUGUGGAAGGUCGUUGGAGUGUAUCCCAUGGGAAGAUGGUAUAAGUGUGACAGGUAGUCACCUAAUUGAUUAAAGAUUGAAAUCAAGUAUGGAGAUUGGGGUACUAUCGUUAAUGUGAGAAUUUAUGCCUGAAGGACACUCGGUUCAUUUGGUUGUGGACUAUGAAAGUUUGUUCCGGAUUUGAGGUUGUUUUUGUGUGUUAUGAAAAAGAAGGGUUAUUGUGAAUCCUUGAAAGGUUAUUAGCCUAGUGCGGUAAUAUUAGGCAUAUUUUCAUAUGUUUCGAUAUUAAUUUACUUGCAUUUUUACCGCUUUUUGGUUAUAUUUGAUAUUGGAUACGCCCAACUUAGUUUGAUUAUAAAGUUUUAUUCUUAUUUGGGUAUUAAUGGAUAAUGUAGGUACAUUGGAGAUAAAUUUUGAACAAAAUGACAAAUUUGGAGUAUAUAGUAAAUAAAUAUUAAAUAGAGUCUUUAAGUUGAAGACCAAAAUCAUUCAAUGUGGAGGAAACCAAGUGCAAUAAAGAAUGAAAGUAUUUUAAUAGUAUCUUGGAUGAUGUAACGAGACUUGAUUAUGUGGCAUUGGAAUUUAGUUGAGAUCUUCCAAUUAAAUUGAAGCAGCAAACUGAAUAAGACAUUGGAAAAGAAAGGUUAGGCAAUAGUCACUUUGGAAGAAAGUAAAUUGGCAGUAGAAAUUGAAAUUGCAAAAACGCUACUGUAAUGUGUGCGAGGCACUGCCCUGGACGCUUGAAGCGGGGGUUUUCUUGUUUUGUUCGAGACAAUGUUAUUUCGGUCCUACACGGUCUGAACUCGUAUAAAAGGGGGUAUAAACCUAUUUUGGAGGGGGAAGGACGUCUUUUAGAGUACCUUUUGACCAAGGUUGAGCAAAGAGCCGCUGUGGAGGCCGGGUUUCAUCUUUUCUUCCACGAACUUAGUCUUUUAUAUUUCUUUGUAUGAUUUGUUAUUUUGCUACCAUGUCUAUGUGGAGCUAAAUUUCAUGUUCUAGGGUUGUGGUUCUUUCAUGACUAUUGUUAUUCAGAUAUUGAUUUUGCCUUUUUGAUUUACCAUAUUGGUUUAUUUAUUCAAUCCUGCGCUUAGUUAGUUGAUUGUUUGAUUACCAAUUGAAUACUAUCUACGAAUCUAGAGUUGAACUCGAAAGUGGGAAUUUUAGAUUGCAUAUAGGAUUGAGUAGAGCUAGUUCUUGGACCUGGGCAUCGGGAAAUGGAUUCGCGGUUAGGAUAGACAUAUACCUAAUUGCCUUGCUUGGUUGAUGUACAGGAAUUAUGAAUGCGUUCUUGCUAGUUCUAAUUCCAUAGACAUAUAGGCGUUAGGUUAGCUUGAAUAGGCGUGUAAAAACUCGACAGAUUCUUAUGAGCAAUAUUAACCCUGUUAACCAAUAAAUUAGAUAAAUUAAUUAGUCAAUUCAAUUGAAGAAUACAAUAGGAAUAUUAGAUAGCCCAUAACCCUAGAUUGUUUUCAUAAUAUUGAUAACAUAAAAAUCUGCUCUUCCUCUGUUCAAAGUUCAUUAUUUAUUUUUAUUUAUUUUAAUUAGUUUAGAAUCAAAUACUUCUAGGUUUAAUCCUUGUUUAGAUAAUUAAGAUAGUCUAAUUUAGUUAAUAUUUAAUCACGAGUCCUCGUGGGUUCGAUAUCCGACUUCUAGUCACUUUAUUACUUGACGACCGCGUAUACUUGCGUGUGCGUUUUGCCGCAACAUGCGGUACGAUCAGAAUCAUUUUGAGGUCUGUGGGUGGAUUUAAAUAUGAAUGUGGGCUUUAUAUCAAGCCGGAUGUAUUCAUUUCAGCAUAGUGCUCCUUAUGGAGGAGUAUUUGGACGUUGGAUAUUAUUUCGUCACUGACUAUUUCAUGCAAUACUAUAUUAUACCGUGAGGGUUGUGAAACGGCUUGACUAAUUGCAUAUGUGUUGAGGUUCCACGUAGCGAUGGUGUUAUGUGAGCAGGAUGGCUCUCACGAUGCAUAUAAUAUAUUGCACGUUAGUUGUGCUUGAGUUUCGUGGCGUAUGGCACUAUCCGUCUCACCAGGAUUUGUAUUAUGCACUUCGCGUGCUUGUGGUUGAUAUUCGGGUAUUUCACAAGUAGGAGCAUUUUAGCUAGGUAAAAAUUUCCUUUAUAAGAUUAUUAUGUGUAGGUCGGGUGGCUCGCCACCACGGCUACAUUAUUUGGAUCAGGUGGCACGCCGCCAUGUGUAUCAUGGUUGGAUCGAGUUGUACAUCGCAACAGUAUUAUGUGCGGAUCGGUUUGUUACACCCCGCAAUAUUACGAUAAUGUUACGUCCUGCAGUAUUAUAUUACGAUAAUGUUAUACCUUGCAGUAUUAUAUUACGAUGAUGUUACGCCUUGCAGUAUUACAUUAUGAUGAUGUUACGCUUCGCAGUAUUAAAUUACUACAAUGUUUCACCAUGUAGUAUUGUACGUUGAAUUUGUCGUAAGGUAAUUGACAUCAGUCCAAGGAAAAGAUUAUUUAGAGAUUACAAGGAUUAUGCUAUUUCAAACAAGUAAUGAGUAAAUUCGUGAAGGUGAGAGGAUAAACAAAUUGAAGAAAAUAAAUUUCGUCGAAGUUUGACAUUUUGGGAUAAAAUAUGGUCCGAGCUAUAAUUUCGUCGAAAUUUGCAGGUAAUUGGUUAAUUACCGGGUAAUGGGACAUUACCUAAUUACCUAAUAAAUGGAUAAUGGUUAAUAUUUCUCACUCCCACCCCACGUGGCAGCCACUAUCUCUAUGUACAUAUGACUCAUACAAUUGAGGGAAAGGUGGCAAAACAUAAAGGAACUCAAAAUUUAAGUACAUAGUCAUAAAGAAUUCAAAACUUAAGUCUUCAAGGUUAAAGUGUCUUCAAUGUUGAAGACUUCAAUACAGAAGCCUUCAUGAUCGAAGUCUUCAAAUUAUUAGAGGACCAAGGACAUUACUAGCCAAAGAGAAAGAAACAGAUACCAUUUUCUUAGUUCAAAAUACGUUAGAAAGGGAGGCUAAAAUUCAAUUCAUGAAGGCCUCCAACGAGAAUUUGUUAAGAUCAUAGCAACGUAAAAUUUUGCAGUCACGACCCGGAUUUUUCAACCAUCGGGAGUCAUGAUGGCGCCUACUCGAAGAAGCUAGGCAAACCACAAAAUUAGGAAUCUUUAACUCUUUUGUUUUAAUUUUUUUUACAACUUAUAUUAACAAGUGAUAAACAUUUAAAUAACAGCGGAAUAUGAGAUUAAGCGGAAGACUUAGACAAAAUAAACCAAAAUGAUACGGAAAUCAAUAUAUGCCUCUACCCAAAAACUGGUAUCCCAACAUUCACGAACCGUCUAUGACUACUACAAACAAAUGUCUGAAGGAAAGAAACACAGUCUGUCUCGGAUACAAGUGAUAACAAAACAUAGUAAUAGAUAGAAGAGACGCUGGGCCUGCGGAUGCCUAUAGGGCUACCUCGGAGUCUCAGUGGACUGAAGGCUGGCUUCCCUACUGUUGCUGACCAAGUGCUGCUCCAGUAUCUGCACAGAGUGCAGAGUGUUGCAUUAGCACAACCGACCCCAUGUGCUGGUAAGUGUCUGGCGUAACCCCGACGAGGUAGUGACGAGGCUAGGACCGGACUUCAGAUAAACCUGUGCAGUUAUAUAACAUAUGGCGGAAAAUAAACCGGAAUAAACAGUUUAAAUGGGAGGGGGGUACAUGCUUCGGGGAACAUAUCAAAUUCAACAACAACUCAAUAAGAUAUGAAAGGACAAUUCAACAUCUACAACAAUAUAAUAACAAUACUGUUGCGGCACGCAACCUGAUCCCUUAUUAUUUAAUAUUGUUGUGGCAUGCAACCCGAUCCAUAUGUAUAACUGUUGCGGCAUGCAACCCGAUCCAACAAAAUAUCUGUUGCGGCAUACAACUCGAUCCAUAAAUAUAUAUAUAUAAUAAUAUUGCGGUGUGCAACCCGAUCCAUAUAUAAUAAAAGUGUUGCGGCGCGCAACCCGCCCCAAAUAUACAGUCAAUAGUGAUCAUAAUAACAGUAUCGGCAAGGGGUCAACAAUAAACUACACUAUUCUGGCAAGGGAAUUCAAUAGUACAAGUAUAUACGUCCCGGCAAGGGAGAAUCAGCUCUAACCAAUCUUAACUCAACUCCUACUCAUCUCAAUUAUCACCAUUCCUCAAUCAUAAGUAUCUUCCACGAAAAUAAACUAAGUCUUUACUCAUUAUCAAGAAUUCACCCACUAUAGCGUUCGUAGUAUCAUUUAAGAAUACAACAGGUAUCAAUUUAGGACUCACGGUCAUGCUCGACACCAACGUAUAGAUACUCGUCACCAUGCCUAUACGUCGUACUCCAAGAAGCAAUUAGCAAAUAGGACUCAACUCCUAAUCCCUCAAGCUAAGGUUAGACCGAACAUUUACCUCGAUGCCUCGAACACAACUCAAGUUUCAAUUAUAGCUUUACCCCUUGAUUCCACUACCAAUUCGCUCGAAUCUAGCCACAAGUUACUUAAUUACAUCAAUAAAUGCUAAAUAAAUCAAUUUGAAUGCAUAAAAUUAGUUUUCCAAAGUUUUAACCAAAAAGUCAAAAUCGCCCCGGGCCUACGUGGUCAAAACCCGAGGUUCGAACCAAAACCUGAUUUCCCAUUCCUCCACAAACUCAAAUAUAUAAUUUGUUUUGAAAUCGGACCUCAAAUCGAGGUCCAAAUCCCCAUUUUUUUGGAAAACCUAGGUUCUACCCAAAACACCCAAUUUCCCCCCAUGAAAAUCAUUGAUUUGAAGUUGAAAUCAUGUUAAAAGAUGUUAAUGAUUUAAGAAAACUAGUUAAAAAUGACUUAUAAUUGAUUUGAAGAAGAAAGGUUGUUUGAAAAAUCACCUCUUAUGUUUUUGGGGUUUUGAAAAAUGAAAAAUAACUGAAAAUCUCGUCUAUUUAUACCUUUCUCAGACCCCCUGUGCGGACCGCACAAAAUGGACUGCGGCCGCUCAAGCCUUCCUAAGGGUACUGCGGUCCAGUGCCCUGUGCGGACCGCACGAAAUGGACUGCGGCCGCACAGGCCUCCACCGCGCACCGCACAAAGCCGACCGCGGACCACACUGGCCCCCUUCCGCGGUCGCACAUGUUUUUGUACGGACCGUUGGCGGGUUCAGAGACUUGCAACUUCUCUGAACCUGCAACAACUAUAUUUUUAGACUUAAGGCAUCCCAGAACCUACCCGAAACUCACCCGAGCCCUCGGGGCUCCAAACCAAGCGCACACAAAACCUCAAAAACAUCCUACGGACUUAUUCGUGUGAUCAAAUCAUCUAAAUAACAUCAUGAAUAUCAAAUUAAAUCUCGAGAUCAAUGAAAUUUUCUCAAAACUUCUUUAAACAUCACUUUUGCGCUUAAGUCCGAAUUACGUCAUAUGACAUCCGUUUUUUCACCAAAUUCCACAGAAACAUCUUAAAUCAUAUAUAAGAACGGUACCGUGUGCUGGAACCAGAAUACAGGCCCGAUACCACCAUGUUCUAAGAAAAUUUCAUUUCAAUUUUCCUUAAAUAUAUUCAGAAAAUAAUUUCCUUUAAAAAUUCAUUUCUCGGGUUUGGGACCUUGGAAUUCGAUUCCGGGCAUAUGCCCAAGUCCCAUAUUUUCCUACGGACCCUCCAGGACCGUCAAAUCACGGGUCCGGGUCCGGGUCCGUUUACCCAAAACGUUGACCGAAGUCAAAUUAACUCAUUUUAUAACCAAAUUGUUAUUAUUUUUCACAGAUUUUCAUAUUUAAGCUUUCCGGCUACGCGCCCGGACUGCGCAUGCAAAUAGAGGUGACUCUAAAUGAGGUUUUCGAGGCCUCAGAAAUAUAGAAUUUAAUUUAAAGCAAAUGAUGACCUUUUGGGUCAUCACAUUUGCGGUUCUAAAGGAGUACGAUGCAAUCUUCUCUAAGAAUAUUUUACGGAGUUUUCCCUUUUUCGGGUAUGUUAAGGCUAUCCCUUCUUUCUUAUGGCAUGAUCCAUACGACACAAACAAAACGUGCAAAUGCAAAAGUUUCCAUACAUGACUCUAUUCAUAGAAAUAUUAGAGAUGCUUAUGUUCUUGAUUCCCCAUGUGUCAUAUUAUUCUAUCAUCUGUGCAUGGGUCUCAGAAAAAUAUGUAAGUUGAAAGAAAAAAAGGUUUACUUCAUGAUAUUAUUCAAAGGCAUAAUGGUCUUAUGACACUCUAAGAGAUAUUAUUAACGUACUUUUCAUGCACUGCAUUCAUGUACAUUGACCCAUGACCGGAUGACAUUAUAUAUACGUAUAUAUAUAUAUANNNNNNNNNNNNNNNNNNNNNNNNNNNNNACUUAUUUAUGUGCCUUACAUACUCGGUACAUUAUUUGUACUAACGUCCUUUUUGCCUGGGACGCUGCGUUUCAUGCCCGCAGGUCUUGAUAGAUAGGUCGAGAGCCCUCCAAGUAGGCUAUCAGCUCAGCGGAAGAUGUUGGUGCGCUCCAUUUGCUUCGGAGUUGCUUGUUUGGUUAGUAUGAUUUAGACAUGUACUAUUUGGUGUGGCGGGACUCUCUCCCGACCAAGUCCUGACCUUUACAAAAAUUAUAUAUUCUUAGAGGCUUGUAGAUAGAUGUCAUGUAUAUAAAAGAUUGUAUGGCCUUGUUGGCCCAUGUUCAGUACACGAGUGGUUACUUUGGUCUUAUAGGCCCGUACUUCAUAUGUAUAAGUUUGUAUUCCCUCAUGCUUUACUUCGGUUCAUUUACC
This 14426-nucleotide long non-coding RNA is filed under the name Nicotiana tabacum (common tobacco). RNAcentral describes it as "long non-coding RNA (NTAB_LNC019400)". The record is from RNAcentral. Lineage: Eukaryota; Viridiplantae; Streptophyta; Magnoliopsida; Solanales; Solanaceae.